This 200-nucleotide ribosomal RNA is filed under the name uncultured bacterium. RNAcentral's name for it is "partial 16S ribosomal RNA". It matches the Rfam family "Bacterial small subunit ribosomal RNA", at positions 30 to 230 of the family's 1533-position model. The record is from RNAcentral.
AUUGAACGCUGGCGGAAUGCUUUACACAUGCAAGUCGAACGGGCUUAAAGAGCUUGCUCUUUAAGUUAGUGGCGAACGGGUGAGUAAUAUAUCGGAACGUAUCCAAUAAUGGGGGAUAACUAAUCGAUAGGUUGGCUAAUACCGCAUACGCCCUACGGGGGAAAGCUAGGGACCUUCGGGCCUGGCGUUAAUGGAGCGGC